AUUUGGUUGAGGCUUUAUAUAUGCUUUUACAUUCUGGCUUUUGUUAUGAAUUGUACAUAUUUUUUUAUACAUAUAUAUUUUGUAUAUUAUAUUGUUUUAUUACAAAACAUGUAUAUAUUUUUUGUAUUAUAUUGUAUAUGUUUUUUGGUGUAUUAAUUAUAGUGUUUAUUUAUUAAACUUUUUUAUAAAUAUUUUUUGUUUUAUAUUUACCCGAAUAAUUCAGUCCCUCCCCGUAAUUGAUCUCUCCUACUUGUGAGGGCCUGAAUUCCUAACCCAUUAAUAAAAACUCUUCAUGAAUCCAGGAUUUUGAUUGGUAUCCCUAUAGAAGAGGUGACCAAUCAUCAAUCAGCUCAAUUUUAUCAAGAUAGGUUAAUCCCAAGCUAAUUACGAUCGAAUGGUUGAUUGAAGAUUUUUCAUUGUCUAUGCAUUCAGGCAUUAAUGUAGUGAUCGUAGAUCAGCGGAAUAUAACAACUGAAUUAUUCGGGUUAGUAUUAUAUUGUUUAUUUUUUAAUCUAUUUAUAUUUUUUUCUUUUUACCUGCAACUGUUGUACAGAUAGCUGGUAUUCAAAUAAAUAUUUACUUAAAUUGUACCGUACCAAUAAUGUCUUAUUUUAUACUUCUAUGUUUUACAAAUAUUGCAAGUUCACUAGUCGCCUUGGUAGU
Molecule: long non-coding RNA, 663 nt
Filed under: Mytilus galloprovincialis (Mediterranean mussel)
Lineage: Eukaryota; Metazoa; Mollusca; Bivalvia; Mytilida; Mytilidae
Source: RNAcentral